RNAcentral lists this ribosomal RNA (393 nucleotides) under uncultured bacterium. RNAcentral's name for it is "bacterial SSU rRNA". It matches the Rfam family "Bacterial small subunit ribosomal RNA", at positions 505 to 898 of the family's 1533-position model. The record is from RNAcentral.
GUGUCAGCAGCCGCGGUAAUACGUAGGGUGCGAGCGUUAAUCGGAAUUACUGGGCGUAAAGCGUGCGCAGGCGGUUAUGUAAGACAGAUGUGAAAUCCCCGGGCUCAACCUGGGAACUGCAUUUGUGACUGCAUAGCUAGAGUACGGCAGAGGGGGAUGGAAUUCCGCGUGUAGCAGUGAAAUGCGUAGAUAUGCGGAGGAACACCGAUGGCGAAGGCAAUCCCCUGGGCCUGUACUGACGCUCAUGCACGAAAGCGUGGGGAGCAAACAGGAUUAGAUACCCUGGUAGUCCACGCCCUAAACGAUGUCAACUGGUUGUUGGGUCUUCACUGACUCAGUAACGAAGCUAACGCGUGAAGUUGACCGCCUGGGGAGUACGGCCGCAAGGUUGAA